GACGAACGCUGGCGGCGUGCUUAACACAUGCAAGUCGAACGAAGAGCGAUGGAAGCUUGCUUCUCUCAAUCUUAGUGGCGAACGGGUGAGUAACGCGUAAUCAACCUGCCCUUCAGAGGGGGACAACAGUUGGAAACGACUGCUAAUACCGCAUACGAUCUAAUCUCGGCAUCGAGGAUAGAUGAAAGGUGGCCUCUACAUGUAAGCUAUCACUGAAAGAGGGGAUUGCGUCUGAUUAGCUAGUUGGAGGGGUAACGGCCCACCAAGGCGAUGAUCAGUAGCCGGUCUGAGAGGAUGAACGGCCACAUUGGGACUGAGACACGGCCCAGACUCCUACGGGAGGCAGCAGUGGGGAAUCUUCCGCAAUAGACGAAAGUCCGACGGAGCAACGCCGCGUGAGUGAUGACGGCCUUCGGGUUGUAAAGCUCUGUUAAUCGGGACGAAAGGCCUUCUUGCGAAUAGUGAGAAGGAUUGACGGUACCGGAAUAGAAAGCCACGGCUAACUACGUG
RNAcentral lists this ribosomal RNA (510 nucleotides) under uncultured bacterium. RNAcentral describes it as "partial 16S ribosomal RNA". It matches the Rfam family "Bacterial small subunit ribosomal RNA", at positions 28 to 507 of the family's 1533-position model. The record is from RNAcentral.